GGACAAUUAAAUAUUUAGUACAAAUUACAAAAUUAUUGGACAAGAAAAUGAUGAUGAUCCAUACAAAUUCUAAAACAAUAUCCCAAAUAAAAAAAAUCUCGUACGGGAAUUUAGUUUUACCUUACGAGAAAUUCGAUUGAGAUCCCACUGCUUAAACCAACAGAAGUCCGGCUAGAACAAGCCCAAUCACGGCGGAGGCCGCGGCGGCGGUGGAUCUCCGGCCGGCGGCGUUAUAAUUCCGGUCGAUCGGAUAAAGGUCGCCGGGAGGGCCGGUUAUGUACAUGAACGAGGGAGACGGCGGCGGAGGGCAGUUGGGGCUCUUGGGCUCCUUCUUCUUCGGGGGUGGGGGAGAGUAGUAGGGAACGACAUCGGGCGGCGGAGGAGACGGCGGCGGGGGCGAUGGGUAGACUACCGGCGGCGGAGGAGAUGGCUGGUUCUGUUCACAUGGGGCGCACUUGACGGUGGGGUCGGCGGGGGUGGUCGGGAUGGUGGUGUCGUCGAGGAGGCGGGCGGGGGCGGCGGCGGAGGUGGAGGAAGGGGAAAUGAGGAGGAGGAAAUUGAGAAAAAGGAGAAAAUUGAGAGGAAGCAUUUUUGUUGAGAGAAGAAGAGAGGGAAAUGAAU
RNAcentral lists this unclassified non-coding RNA (621 nucleotides) under Hevea brasiliensis (rubber tree). The record is from RNAcentral. Lineage: Eukaryota; Viridiplantae; Streptophyta; Magnoliopsida; Malpighiales; Euphorbiaceae.